Long non-coding RNA from Tupaia belangeri chinensis (Chinese tree shrew), 586 nucleotides. RefSeq lists it as uncharacterized. Lineage: Eukaryota; Metazoa; Chordata; Mammalia; Scandentia; Tupaiidae. The transcript is spliced from 5 exons. The record is from RefSeq and is a predicted model, not a curated record.
GAGACCCAGGAUCUCACCAGAGCACAGGUAGCCAGAGGGGCUGGCUCGCUUUCCCACAGUGUCCCAGGCGCUGUUGAUUUUGAACCCUGAUAAGGUCUGGAAGUAACAUUGCAAAUCCCUGUGAGUUUUUGAGGAGGAAUAAAAGUUCCCAGUUUUCUGCACUGAAAUGGGAAAGUCUGUUCUGCCCAAACCCAGGAACCAGGACUACCCGUAAGGUCCUUGAUCAUCUUUAGUGAAAACACGGGAUCCCCGAAGCAGCCUACACCUGGACCUCACCGGUGGCCAGGAGUGGAAGCGCCUCUGUGCUAACCCAUGUGUCAGGGCCUAUGAAGACAGACUGCAGGUGGGAGGCCUUGCUCUCCCUCCCCCUCCCACCACUGGCAGGACACAGAUACAGCCAUGAGCAUCUUGUCAUCGGCUGCUCUGCGCAAAACAGUUCACAGAAAUGAAAGGUUGUCAGACAAGAGAGGAGAAAAAAUGGACACUGAAGAGAAGAAGACGGCGAAACAAGAGAUGAGGCUGAUGUGCAUUCUCCUGCAAUUUCUCUGUCAUGCAAAGAAAGGCCUAAGAUGCCAUUAGUGUGGUA